UGUGCAAUGCAUAAGUAGGGUCCAUAGUCCUACCUAUACUAAGUAACUCUUCAAGAAAUCAUGACUAGAGUUCAUAUUCUUAUCUUAGUUUAUUUCUUAACUUUCGGGAGACAUUGCCAUAACCAACAUAGACCAUGUGAGCUACAUGGAAUCCGGUGUUCUACUCUCACACCGAAAAGAGAGGGUACUACUUGCCAAAGUAGGACCUACAUACAUAAUAGCUAUCUAGUGGAUCCACUAAGCUAAUACCUACGGGGGCACGUAGUUAUGGAACAAAGAGAUUGCUACUAGAAAAC
RNAcentral lists this long non-coding RNA (296 nucleotides) under Solanum tuberosum (potato). RNAcentral describes it as "long non-coding RNA (STUB_LNC009651)". The record is from RNAcentral. Lineage: Eukaryota; Viridiplantae; Streptophyta; Magnoliopsida; Solanales; Solanaceae.